CGUGUGGGGGGGGAGAAAAAAAAAAGGGGGGGGGUGUUUUUUAUUUUUCCCCCACAAGGUGUUUUUUUUUUUUAUUUUUUUUUUUCCUUUGGAGGAAAAUUUUAUAAUUUUAAAAAAGGGGGGGGUUUUUGGGGUUUAUUCCCUUAAAAGGGAAAUGGAAUUUUUGGGUUUUUUGAUUUAGGUUUGUUUGGGGGGGGGGAAAAGGGCCUUCCCCAAGGGCUUACGGAUCCAGUAAGCUGGUUUUUGAAGAAGGAUGAUUCCAGCCACCCCUGGGGGUUGGGGAUUCGGGCCCCAGAUUCCUCCCGGGAAGGCAGCCAGUGGGGAAAUUUUUGGCCAAUGGGCGGAAAGCCUGACGCAGCAACGCCCGCGUGAUUGAAGAAGGUUUUGCGGAGUAUAAAGAUCUGUCAUUAGGGGAAGAAUAACGAGUAUUCUAACAAAAUACUCGUCUGACGUUACCUUAUAAGAAAGCCCCGGCUAACUUUCGUGCCAGCAGCCGCGGUAAUACGAGGGGGGCAAGCGUUAUCCGGAAUCAUUGGGCGUAAAGGUUUCGUAGGCGGACUGAUCAGUUGGAAUUGAAAGACCACGGCUUAACCGAGGGAACGGUUUCAAUACUGUCAGUCUUGAGUGAGGUAGAGGUAAGCGGAAUUCCUGGUGUAGCGGUGAAAUGCGUAGAUAUCAGGAGGAACAUCAAAGGCGAAGGCAGCUUACUGGGCCUAUACUGACGCUGAGGAACGAAAGCGUGGGGAGCAAACAGGAUUAGAGACCCUGGUAGUCCACGCCGUAAACGAUGAGUACUUAGUGAUGGGGGAUUCGACCCCUUCAUUGCUGGAGCUAACGCAUUAAGUACUCCGCCUGGGAACUACGACCGCAAGGUUGAAACUCAAAGGAAUUGACGGGGACCCGCACAAGCGGUGGAUCAUGUGGUUUAAUUCGAUGCAACGCGAAGAACCUUACCUAGGCUUGACAUGUUAGUGAAAGCUCUGUGAAAGCAGAGCCGUCUGCGAGCUUGCUCAAAGACGCUAUCACAGGUGAUGCAUGGCUGUCGUCAGCUCGUGUCGUGAGAUGUUCGGUUAAGUCCGAUAACGAGCGCAACCCCUAUUCUUAGUUGCCAGCACGUAAUGGUGGGGACUCUAAGAAAACUGCCCGGGAUAACCGGAAGGAAGGUGGGGUCGACGUCAAGUCAGUAUGUCCCUUACGCCUAGGGCUACACACGUGAUACAAUGGAGGGUACAAAGGGUUGCAAUGCCGCGAGGUGGAGCCAAUCCCAAAAAACCUUCCCAAGUUCAGAUUGCAGUCUGCAACUCGACUGCAUGAAGCAGGAAUCGCUAGUAAUCGUGAUCAGAACGCCACUGUAUCGCCUUCCGG
RNAcentral lists this ribosomal RNA (1365 nucleotides) under uncultured bacterium. Its description in RNAcentral is "partial 16S ribosomal RNA". It matches the Rfam family "Bacterial small subunit ribosomal RNA", at positions 52 to 1377 of the family's 1533-position model. The record is from RNAcentral.